GGGCAAACGCUACCGACAUUGCAUACGCCUCAUUUCAGCAGCGCCAUGUGCCGAGUUUGGAGUCUUAUUUUGAUAAUAUGCGUUCUUACGCGUAUCAGCCAAACGGAUCCUAUGGAGCCUGGGCGAGGUGCGGGUAAAUCGUCAUCUGCAGGAGAGGAGAAAAAGUCCAAAAAGUCGACGACAACGGGGACUUCUGGAGAUCUUACGAAGCCUUUGUUGAGCACGAGCGGGGAAUCAACAGAAGUAAGCUCAGGGGCACCCAAGUCUGAGACAGCUUCAUUAACAGAAGAUUUCACCUUCCCCCGGCCUGGUGAGGGAGCUGGUUACACUAGAUUGAAAGAUGAAAAAUUAGGAAAGCUGAAAGAGCUUUCAGGAUCACAGAGGCCCUUGCUGGGGGAAGAAACGGGACCACCUACCGAAACAACUGCAGAGAUGCCACGGCGGAGGGCAGGAAAAGCUCCGGUAAAAGAAGACUCACCAGGGCCAAUAACAGCAUCAUACGAGAAGUUGGAACAGACUAAGGAUAGUACACCUAUCUGUCGGCUGGGCUUUUUCUAUCCAGCGACAAAAGAUGGUGAGAUCGAGGAAAAAGAAUGCGGAGUUCAUUGCAAGACCCACUUCGGAAAAAUUGUUUCAAGCUCUGGAGACUCGAUAGACAUUGCUGUACCCGGGAUAUAUAAAGGACAAAUAUGCCGCUGCAUUUUUAAUUACGGUAGACUUAAAGAUUACAUCACAAAUCGUUUGUCUGAGAAGGACUUCGACGAUUUCUUCAAUCUUGCUUGCGACGACGGAUUCUGCGCUGCAAGAGUUUGGUUAAAGGAUAACAAAUUCAAAGUCGAGAUUGAGUAUGAAAUGGAAGCUAAGAAACAAAAGUCACCGGUCACGGCCUCAACAAUGGUAACACCACAGAAGUCAACGACAAAUACACCAGACCGGUCACCUCCUCAGACACGUACUCAGACACCCUCUCGGACACCUUUUCAGUCACCUUCUCGAACGCCGGAUAGAUUCUCUAUGCAGACAUCGAAAGAUUCUGGCGGGGUACAUAAAAGCAAGGGUGUGGCGAAGUCAUCAACUGGGACAGCGACAGCACCUGGCACACCUCAUCGAAGUCCUAUGCGAACAGCUCCUGGAACGCCGGACAGAUUCUUUACGGGUGGAGACACAUCAACGUAUACUGUAAUGACACCACCGAAAGAAGUUAUUGUGGGGGCUUUCACAACAACAGAUGGCUCUUUCACGCUGGAGAUGUGCGCCCAUUCCUGCCGCACAGCAUUUGGAAACAUUCUCAGCCCCGAGUCUGCCUAUACAGAGAAAAUGCCUUUCACCAAGGCAAAAUUGACUGCGGAUGGAAAGACCUGCAACUGUAUGCUGCGAUCCAUCGUUCCACAAUUCUGCUAUGAUAAGAGCAUCCGCUACGAUAUGUUGGUUAAAAAAAUCACAAAAUACUUUUUCUGUGCCGGAAAGGUAUACAUCGAGAGUUCCAAAACACCAAAAACGAAUAUAGAGAUUGAGUACGAACGGGCUGCUCGUCCGCCACACAAUAAGAAUAAGGACAAAAAAACCCCCAAUGUUCGGAUUUCAGUUCCAGGCCGUGAUGAGCAGCAUGAGAACCAUGGCCCUGGAUUUGAUGGGGUACGAGAACUAAGCAUUAUCAUGGGGACUUUUGAUAAAGGAGUAUGGAAAAAAAAAGUAACGCAUGAUAUGUGUCAACAAAAAUGCAAUGAACAUUUCGGCUACAUUUAUUUGAAUGAUACGUAUAAAACACAUUUCACUAUUGGAGAGCUGAACAUCGACUGGCAUAAAUGCAAGUGUUUCGUGAAUGUUGAGCCCAUUAAGGAGAAAAUUGAUGAAAGGUUAGCUCAACGAAACCAUAAUUGGAUAGAGUUCUCCGAAAGCUGUAAGACUAAGAAUGGAUACUUUACGGUGAUAGAUUUUUUAAUCACGCAUGAAGAAUACGGAUUGAAGAUCGAGCCUGGAAAUGCGGUGACCGCUGAAGAGAGACAGCGCUUACGUCAGUCAAAAAGAAGAGUCGACGCGAAAGAGAAGAGAGCACUUCGAAUGGAAAUUCGUCAAAAAGAAAAAAAAUUGUUCAGGUCAAUGCAAUACAAACUUGGAGAAUGCGAAGUGUAUUGCAAUACGCGUUUUGGUUUCGUCUUCGGGUAUCCGACGCCUGUCCCAUUCACCAAACCUGAACUGUCGGAGGACAAAUAUAGUUGUGAAUGCUGGUUGAAUGUAAAACCUCUCUCUUAUUUUCUUCCCGUACGCAAUGUGGAUUGGGAUGAAUUUUCGACGCCUGCGAGAACUCUUACGAGAGGGGUGUUAGAUUUUUAAGAAAUGGUGGGACUAACGUCCCACCAUGGAUAGGCCGAGAAAAGAAAUUCCCAAGAAUUGAUGUCGUGGAUAAAAAUGGGAAUCUGAAAAUUCUACCAGGAGAUCCUCCCGUCCGCGGUGGCCCAUCGUCGUCUGAGACUCCCGUCCCGGACGUCCCAUCGAAUCCAACUGUAACCUGAGCCUUCCAUUUGUAUCCAUGCACUGCUUAAUAAUGUUUAUAUAACUAAAAAUGUAUACGCAUAACGUACUUGUAAGACAUUAAUAGCCUGAGAUGCUGAAUGUCUCUAAUAAAAUCAACCAACUAAAAGCGUUAAUUCUUGAAAGGCUCCGUGAUUUUGCCUCUAUGUUUGAAGCAAAUUCUGAAAUUACAUCAAGAAAUAAUGUCGAUUUUUGUUCCUUUAGAAAUAUAAAAUCGAGCGGAGAUUUUGAAACACCGCAAACGAGAUACAUAUAGUUAGGGAGUUUCGCUGUCAACAAAGGUACAAUACUUUGUAUUCGCUGAAUUGACGUUAAGUUUUUACCUUGUCUCAUCUCCAAUAAGUAUCUCAAAUCCUACCGCCCAAGUAGCGUAGAUUGCUAUUAAUGGACCACUAGACAAGGCACGAAUUGAAGCAUUCUGAUACAUUUGUCUUAACCAGAACUUCAAGUAGAACACGAUUCGCGCAACGAAAGUUACUGAAACCAACCUUAACGAAGAUAUUAACCUUUAUUUAUUUCACAUUGGUUAUGCGGAUUUUGAACUGCCCGCUCACAAGAAACUCAAAGCUCUACGUGAGUCAAAUCGCGCACUACAACGGUUUCAGCAAGCCUCUUCAUCUUCACCAAGAAUCAUUAAAUAUCUGCAUAAGGAGUUGAUUUCGGUAAUUUUCGUCGUGCGUAUCGUAUUCUACGUGAAAUUUUGGUUAAGAAACGUGUAUCAGAAUGCUGAAAUUCGUACCUCGUCUAGUGGUCCAUUGAAAAUACAUGUUAAAAUUAUUGCCAAUGUGUUAGAGUGUUGCGUACGUUGUCUACUUACUGAUUGGAAGGGCUCCUUUAUUGAAAUUCAUUGCAAUACAUUUUAAAUAAGAAAGUUCCAAUUUUGUUUGCAUCGGAAAUUGCCUAACUUUCUCACGCAUGGAGCGCAAUAUUGCUGAUCGUUUAAAAUCGGCAUUUAUGGACCAAAUAGGCCUAAUGCAAACUUUUGCUAGAGCAAAAAGAAGAGUUGUAACUCAUAGAAAAUGUCUCAAAAAUUACCGUGAGCGAAUCAGCAAAGACUGAAAUGCACUCCUAACUUCACAAUCUGCGCGAGAAAUUCGCGUUUUUUUAUGCUUCCCGCUUCAAAAAGGAGACUCUCGAUAAUUCGAAAACCUCGUUAAUUCGAAGGAAAGUCCGUUUCCUUUGAAAAUCUCUCGAUAAUACGAAGAAAAUCAAUGCAUUUUUCUCCCCUCGUUAUUUCGAAAUUUUUGAACUAUAUAAUUCAAAAUUGCGACGAAAAUUCUCUCUGUAAUUCGAAGUGUGGGAAGUAAAUAUGGUCCUCCCACUAUAGUUCGAAAUAAGACGGUGCAUUCCCUCUACAAUUCGAAGUCAACUGUUUAUGUACCUGGGUGUCUGAAAGAGCUGAUAGGAUUGUCAAAAUGUAAACAUGUAAUUAAUAGUUUUAAAAAUGAAUAUAAAUAAUUAAUACUUAAUAAUAACUUAGUGUAAUUUUUACCUCCGUAAAGAAAUAAACUAAUAUUUUUGGUUCCUUUUGACGUAAAUCCGUCCAUUUGCCUCUCUACAUUCGAACCUCUCUAAUUCGAAAUUUCUCCACAUGAAUCUCCUUAAUUCGAACUCUCUUUACUUCGAAACCUCGCUAAUUCGAGGAAAAAGCCGAUUCCCUUCAAUUUCGAAUUAUCGAGAGUCCAAUGUACCACGGACUACGGCACAGGUGAACUUUUCGUAAGAGGAGUCGCUCCAUUCAAUCCCUUCUUAACAGUAGAGUCCCUAUAUACUGAGAGUCAAGACAAUGUGAAUCCAUUUCUGAUUGGUUCCCUUAUUUUAGGCCUUCACAGUGUCACAAACGGGAAUAAAGAUUACAUUUUCGCCGAUUGCAAAGAUUAUAAUCUGGAAUGGACCAGGGAAUUAUGGGUUCGGAAAGAAACAAACGGGAAUGAGAGAAGGAACGGAGAAAGGAAUUUGAGAAUGGGCCGAUCAAAGAUUACGAAAAACGUUCAAUUUCUGUAAUCUUUAUUCCCGUUUGUGACUCCAUGAGGGGUGUUGUCUUGACUCUCAUUGUCAGUAUAAAGGGACUCUAACUCAACAUGAUAGACGCUUCCGCGCGCAAGUUGAAGAGAGCACGAGGUCAAUCAAGGCAGAUAUCUAUCAACGCGAGAAAAAUGUGAAUGUAAACACGCUGAUUGUUAUCAGGUUGUUAUAGAAUCAUCGUCCCAUUAGUAUUUUGGCGGAUUGGCGUUGGCUAUGUUGAAUAUUGCGGAGCAUCCUUGUGAAUGACUCCUCUAACGAAAUGUUCACCCGUGCCAUGGUAGGUAUCGUUUUUGAAGCGGGAAGCUCGAAAAGACGCAAAUUUCAUGUGCAAGUUGUGAAGUAAGGUGUUCAUUUCAGCCUCCGCCGUACAAUUCUUAUUUUUGCUUUAGCAAAAGUUUGCAACAGGCCCAUUAUGUGAAAAUAUUGCAAGUUCAUGGGAAAAAAUUAUUUAAUACUUCAUUAUUAAAAUAUUUCCGUUCCACUUUGCUACUUGGGCAUUCGGUUCUGAAUUGGUCUUAUGACUGUGGAGUUAUUACCAGCACUAUUUCGCAUUACUUAUUGUUGAGUUAAAGAGUUGCACUUCCUUUUUCCAAUACGCAUUUCCCCGGUUUUUGUUCCUUCUGAAAAUCAGCUAAAAAGCCCAGAUAAUGACUUACAAUAGAGAUGGUAACGAAUGAAGAACAACUUAAUC
This 5248-nucleotide long non-coding RNA is filed under the name Bemisia tabaci. RNAcentral's name for it is "lncRNA ENSASIAIIG001810". Lineage: Eukaryota; Metazoa; Arthropoda; Insecta; Hemiptera; Aleyrodidae. The record is from RNAcentral.